Molecule: ribosomal RNA, 522 nt
Filed under: uncultured Bacillota bacterium
Lineage: Bacteria; Bacillati; Bacillota
Description: bacterial SSU rRNA
Rfam family: Bacterial small subunit ribosomal RNA
Source: RNAcentral
AGAGUUUGAUCCUGGCUCAGGACGAACGCUGGCGGCGUGCUUAAUACAUGCAAGUCGAGCGGAGUUGUUAUCACUGAAGCCUUCGGGUGGACGAGAUUUCAACUUAGCGGCGGACGGGUGAGUAACGCGUGGGCAACCUGCCCUAGAGCCUGGGAUAACACCGGGAAACCGGUGCUAAUACCAGAUAUCUUUUGGUUUAGGCAUCUAAACCAAAAGAAAGGUUUAACGCUCUAGGAUGGGCCCGCGUCCCAUUAGCUAGUUGGUGAGGUAAUGGCCCACCAAGGCGACGAUGGGUAGCCGGCCUGAGAGGGUGGACGGCCACACUGGGACUGAGACACGGCCCAGACUCCUACGGGAGGCAGCAGUAGGGAAUAUUGCGCAAUGGGGGAAACCCUGACGCAGCGACGCCGCGUGAGUGAUGAAGGCCUUCGGGUCGUAAAGCUCUGUCCUCAGGGAAGAAGCAAGUGACGGUACCUGAGGAGGAAGCCCCGGCUAACUACGUGCCAGCCGCCGCGGUAAUUC